This 440-nucleotide ribosomal RNA is filed under the name uncultured bacterium. RNAcentral describes it as "partial 16S ribosomal RNA". It matches the Rfam family "Bacterial small subunit ribosomal RNA", at positions 338 to 795 of the family's 1533-position model. The record is from RNAcentral.
CCUACGGGCGGCAGCAGUAGGGAAUAUUGCUCAAUGGGGGAAACCCUGAAGCAGCAACGCCGCGUGAAGGAUGACGGUCUUAGGAUUGUAAACUCCUUUUUGGAGAGAAGAUAAUGACGGUAUCUCACGAAUAAGCACCGGUUAACUCAGUACCAGCAGCCGCGGUAAUACGGAGGGUGCAAGCGUUACUCGGAAUCACUGGGCGUAAAGAGUGCGCAGGCGGGAUUGUAAGGCAGAUGUGAAAUCCUGUAGCUUAACUACAGAACUGCAUUUGAAAUUAAGAGUCUAGAGUGUGGGAGAGGUAGGUGGAAUUCGUGGUGUAGGGGUAAAAUCCGUAGAUAUCAAGAGGAAUACUCAUUGCGAAGGCGACCUACUGGAACAUUACUGACGCUCAUGCACGAAAGCGUGGGGAGCAAACAGGAUUAGAUACCCGUGUAGUC